Molecule: RNA transcript, 2097 nt
Organism: Apis dorsata (giant honeybee)
Lineage: Eukaryota; Metazoa; Arthropoda; Insecta; Hymenoptera; Apidae
Exons: 7
Source: RefSeq, a predicted model, not a curated record
UCGAGAUACAAAGAACGGUUAAGUGUUAUAACAUAUAUUGAAACAGCUUCAGAAGGUCAAAAAAAAAAAAAAUAUACAUGGAACUGUCGUUUUCGACUGUCUUUAGACAGUCAGGAAAAGAUACAAAUAUGGAAUCGACGAACUCUACCAUGGAUUUGGCUUAUAGUUUUUAUAGUGAAAGCUCAAAUUCUUCAAUAAGUUUAAACAAAGCGAUGCUUAUGUCAGUCGAUGAUAAUACGUUAAAUUCUAACAAUAAUAGUUGUUAUCAUUCGUACGUCGAAGAACAAAAUGAAACGUUAUUUGAACACACCGAUAGCACAAGUUUAAAGCCUUUAUCCAAUUUUACGAUUAAUUCGAACUCGGAACAAGAAAAUUCAGAUAAUUUGGAAGAUACACAACAUACAAAUAUCGAAGAAGAGAAUCAUGAAGGAUAUAUCCCAUUAAGAACGCUGUUAAGAAACAUGUUUGAGGAAAUUUUAGGAAAGUAUAAUGGAAUCACAAGACAGUCAAAUGUAAGUUCGACUAACAGAAGUUCAAACAGUGACAAUUCAAUGGAUAAUUGGGAUAAUACAGAUGAAGUAAAUAAUAAUCUUUUAGUUUGUCAAACACAAAAAUCUAGUAAUAUUGUUAUAACUACUAUCGAUAAUGUAAAAGAUCCUGAUAAAAUUAUUGGUUUAUCUUCACAGCAUAUAUUAGAUUCUAGAAGCAUAAAUACAAUAUUAGAAAAUUCCAAUGAAAGUUCUAGUAAUUCACAGAUAAAUGAUAGUUCUAAAUGGUCUGGAAGAUUAAUAGACAAAUUGAGAAAUUUCACUUCUCACAGAAGAGAAAAAAAAUAUAGAAAUCAUAUAUUUAUUACCAGUGAUAUAAGCAAUGAAAGUAUAUCUUCGAGCAUAUCAGGUGAUGUUAAAAAAGUAACCGAAGAAAUUUUUCAAAAGGCAAAUAAUUUAUCAAUGGAUGAUUCUUUAAAAUUAAAAAGUAAUGAUGCAACACCAAAUAAUGAAAAAGUAAAAUCUCCAAUAAAAAAAAAACGGAGAAGUGUAUCUUUACCGAAAUAUAUGGAAGAUGAAAAUACUGAACAACAAAAUGAGAAAAUAUUAAUUAAUAAUUCACAAAAGAGUUAUACACCACCCUAUAUAAGAAAUAGAUCAAAUUAUAUAAGUACAUCACCGAUUAAACCAGUAAAAUACUUAAGGCAAUAUUUUGCGAAUUUAGAUAAUAAAAAUAAUAAAAAAAAUAUAAAGCGGUCGCCAAAGCUAAAUAAAUAUAUAAGAAGACACAGAAUACCUUAUAUACGUGUAAUACCUGCUACACCAAAAUAAAAUAUAAUAAGUUCAGGUUAGAAAUUACUGGUCAAUUUACGACGUCAUCGAGUUAAUUGGUAAAAAGGCGAUUGACCCGAGGUAGACAGAGAGACAGAGGUCACCAUCCUUCGAAACAACACAUCCUUCAGUGACUUCCGGUGUGCCGCGUAUGUUUAUGAAUCAUUUUGAUAUUUCUAUAUCAAUGUUCUUACUCGUCUUUUUAUUCGUUUUUACGUUAACCAGCCCAUAAAUGAUUUUUGAAAGACCUUGUAAUUCAUGAGGAAUCUAUGAUGGACGAUCCCUGCCAAUGUAUCGUCUGGUGUCAAGUACUCAUUGCAAAAAAUGAUCAUCCUACUGAAACAUCCUACAAAUGUCCAUCUUAUCGUGAAGAAACAGUUAUGCGAAAUAAAACGCUAAGAAUGCUAUUGAUUUUUGCAGUGGAUUUCUAUUAGCUUGUAAAAUACGAAACUAUUCAAGGUUUCAACCAAGGCUCUAAAUUUUGAAAGUGAAAGAAGGUAAUUUGAUGAAAAGUUUGCAAGAAUCAUUGCUAUGUGUGGGUGUUUCGGAUGUAUAAAGACAGGGUCGAACAUGGAUAAUUGAUAUCCAUGGUUUUUUAGUGGUCAAUUAAAUGGAACAUUUUUAGUUUUCUUUACAAUGCUAUUCACUGCUCCUUGAAUUUAUAAAUAGAAACGGGAGCAGUUGAAACAUAGUGGGUAUUUUCAGUUGAAUGAAUAACACAAGAAAUGGAAUAAGUUACAAUAAAAUGAACAUUUAUUUAUUUAAAAAAAAUUGAUAA